UACGUAGGGGGCAAGCGUUGUCCGGAAUUAUUGGGCGUAAAGCGCGCGCAGGCGGUCAUUUAAGUCUGGUGUAUAAACCAAGGGCUCAACCUUUGGACGCAUUGGAAACUGGGUGACUGGAGUGUAGGAGAGGAAAGUGGAAUUCCACGUGUAGCGGUGAAAUGCGUAGAGAUGUGGAGGAACACCGAUGGCGAAGGCAGCCUUCUGGGCCAACACUGACGCUCAUGCACGAAAGCGUGGGGAGCAAACAGG
Molecule: ribosomal RNA, 252 nt
Filed under: uncultured bacterium
Lineage: Bacteria
Description: partial 16S ribosomal RNA
Rfam family: Bacterial small subunit ribosomal RNA
Source: RNAcentral